AUGCAGACUCCUCACUAAGCAAGAAGCCUGAUACGGGACUCAAUACUAGGACCCCAGGAUCACGCCCUGAUAGGAAGGCAGACGCUCACCCACUGAGCCCCGCCGGUGCCCCUUAAAGGUUUUGCUUUUAAAGGUCUCAUAGCUGAGCUGCCUUGGCUGAGUAUCUAUUAACUGGAUGUUCUCCUCGAUCGCAGGUCACACCCUGCUGUUUCUUCACGAGGAACUUCUGGGGCCACAGGCAGAUGCCAGACUCCUAGCUCUCAACCCUGCACCCCAAAGUCUCCAUGCACUUCAUAGCCAACCUACAGAAAUUGUUGGCUUUGUUUUGUUUUGUUUUGUAAUAUAAUCAGUCCCGUGAAAAGCAGGACAGAGUUCUGUCUGCGGGUGUACGGCCCUCAUGGGUGUGUGCACACGUGUGCACGCAGGCACGUGUCUCUAAGGGGGAGCAGCAGGGCUCCAGCACCACGGCCAGAAGGCAGAAGCAUUUUCUGAUACUUACAGCAUGAAGCUGAGGUGGCACGGGCUCCGGCAGUUAGUGACUUGCUCCCUGACAGGUGUUCAAGGGAGAGUCCAGGCCUGUCUGGUGGGAAUGGGGUAGGAGGAAUUCCUGCAGGUUGGCAGGGGGCCGGGGGUGUGAGCGGAGGAACCCUAAGGAAUCAUUCAAACAUAGAACUUAUCAAAUGUGCAAGUGCCCAGGGCAGAGCUGGCCGGCGAUGGAAGCUUGCAAAGUGGGUAAUAAUGUGCGCUGUUAUUCUUAUAGCCAAUUCGAGCCGUGGUGGCCCUAUCUCUCCUCCAGGUGGUGUUUACCAUGAGCAGCAAAGCGCUGCAGUCCCAGUGCCCAGGCCUGAAAAUUGCUCCCGCCGUUUCACAAUAGAAAAGAAAAUGUUUCUCGGCUGAAAACCACAUUUGCUGGUUAUGAAAAUGAUUCAGAGCUGUUUCUUCUUCUUCUUCUUCUUUUUUUUUUUUUUUUUUUUUGUAUUGAUUCCCAGCCUUCUUGUUUUAUUGUACAAAUACAGGCCCCAGGACGGAAGAUGUAUUACUGCAAAUCUCUUCCCGGGAAAUUGCUCGCAUACAGAGCGCUGUGCCACACUCGGAUCCCCAGUCUACAACAAAGGCAGCAGGGCUUACCCUCGAGGAAGGCACUUUCAGGCCGGCCUGCACCGAGCAGACACAAGAGCAGGUGCAUCAGCCACCUCUGCAUCUGGUCCUGCCUUGGAGCCCUCUGGCAGUAAGACACAGCUCCUGGGCAGCUGGGCUCGCUCUUGUGCCUGGAUGGUCGUGGUGGGGAAGGCAUGAUCUGGGAGCAGAAGGGGCGACACAGCCUCAGGACACUGGGGACACACGGCACGUAGGGUGGCAAGCGCUCUGUGAUGUGCCGUGUGCAAACGUGAGGUCACCACACCGUGCGCCCAAAGCCAGUGCAGCAUUGUGUACCCACCGUAGUUUGGCUAAUCAUGAAACUUUUUUUUUUUAAGAUUUUAUUUAUUUAUUCAUGAGAGACACAGAGAGAGGGAGGGACACAGGCAGAAGGAGAAGCCGGCUCCCUGCAGGAAGCCCGAUGCGGAACUCGAUCCCAGGACCCCGCAGUCACUCCCUGAGCCGAAGGCACACGCUCAACCACUGAGCCACCCGGGCAUCCCAAGAUUUCAUAAUUUUAAAAAGCCUUUGAAUAGUAGGGAGAAUCCCAUGUGAGGGGAAUAUUUUAUUUUAUCCCUUUCAUAGGCUGUGCAAGCGGUGCCAUUAUUUUAUUCAAGCUUUUUUUUUUUAUUGUUUUUUCUCAUGGUUGUCCUGAGUGGAGAUUGGUUUAAAGUUUUUCUAUUUCUGUGCUGAUUUUGUCAAAUUUUGGUAUCCGUGUUACGCUAGUUUUAUAAAAGGAAUUUGGAAGGCAUCCUUCGUUCUCUGGGCUCUGGGAGGGUUUAAAUAGUAUCAGGUUCAUCUGUUGCUUGAACGUUUGAAGGAAUUUACCUUUCAGACCAUCUGGAUUUGGCGCUUUCGUGGAGCGGUUGCUUUAUUUAUAACUUUCCUCAACUUCUUCCAUUGUUUCUAGUCUGUUCAGAUUCCCCAUCUCUUAUGGAGUCAGUUUCGAUCGCAUACAGUCCCUGGAAUCUGUUUUAUUUCACGGAUGUCUUCCAAUGAACGUCCACUGAAUUUUGUGCAGAAGUUAUUAUUUCCUUUGGAUCUGUGGUAUUUUCUCUUGAAAAUGGAGAGAAGCUCGAGCAGUACGCUUGCUUGACCUGUCUUUUUUUGUUAUUUUAUUUUUUUUAAUUUUCAAAAUAUUUUAUUUAAAUUCAAUUUGCCUGUAUAUAGCAGAACACGGCAAGCUCAUCUCAUCAUGCGCCCUCUGUAACGCCUGUCACACACUCAAGCUUUCUCUGACAAUUUACCGAGGUCAUUGUGGGCUCCCCCAGGCUAGCUGCAUCUUGAUGUUAUUUAGAGCUCCACCAGCUUAGUGGGUCUUCCUGAACUUUUUCUAUCAGAGGCUUCGUUCAUCCUUUUUAAUCCUUUAAUCCUUUCUUUUAAACAGGCUCCUAAAUCUCAGGUUCAGCUGAGGAGACAAGACAUCCCACCUGCCAGAGACCAAUGCCAGGUGGGAGACUCAGCCACGCAGACACUCAGGCAAGAUGUCCGGGAGCUGGUUGGGUGGAUGGUCCCAGUGGGGCUGCAACAGGGCAGGCAGACAGGGCCCAGAAGGCACGUGGGAAGAGCCAUGCUCGAGGCAGACCCGACUCCAUGGCGGCCUCGUGAACCGUGCAUCAACAGGGCCAAGCCCGUGAGCGAGCCCAGGGGAGUCUGGGGGUCUCUGUGGCUGGGGCUCCCCCUCCCCAAGCACAGACACCCUAUAUGUCAUAGCAUCCCCAUUCCAUGAGCUCUGGAAGGCAGGGAGGCCUGACAGAAAAGGAGGCCCUGCCCAAGGAGCAAGAGUCGUAGCUCGGGGAAACUCUCUUAGGCAGAGUUCACAUAACCGCACUCCAGGAUGGAAGCAAGCGAGGCCACAGGAGGCCAGGGCCUGUGGGGAGGUUUCUGUGGUCCUGCCUCCUCCUCUGUCCCCUCAUCCCCCUCCUCC
This 3064-nucleotide long non-coding RNA is filed under the name Canis lupus familiaris (dog). Its description in RNAcentral is "lncRNA (ENSCAFG00040000766.1)". Lineage: Eukaryota; Metazoa; Chordata; Mammalia; Carnivora; Canidae. The record is from RNAcentral.